RNAcentral lists this ribosomal RNA (575 nucleotides) under Physalospora vaccinii. RNAcentral describes it as "eukaryotic LSU rRNA". It matches the Rfam family "Eukaryotic large subunit ribosomal RNA", at positions 1 to 581 of the family's 3401-position model. Lineage: Eukaryota; Fungi; Ascomycota; Sordariomycetes; Amphisphaeriales; Hyponectriaceae. The record is from RNAcentral.
GGUUGACCUCGGAUCAGGUAGGAAUACCCGCUGAACUUAAGCAUAUCAAUAAGCGGAGGAAAAGAAACCAACAGGGAUUGCCUCAGUAACGGCGAGUGAAGCGGCAACAGCUCAAAUUUGAAAGCUGGCCCCCCAGGGGUCCGCGUUGUAAUUUGCAGAGGAUGCUUCGGGCGCGGCGCCUUCCGAGUCCCCUGGAACGGGGCGCCAUAGAGGGUGAGAGCCCCGUAUGGUUGGACGCCUAGCCCGUGUGAAGCUCCUUCGACGAGUCGAGUAGUUUGGGAAUGCUGCUCUAAACGGGAGGUAAAUUCCUUCUAAAGCUAAAUACCGGCCAGAGACCGAUAGCGCACAAGUAGAGUGAUCGAAAGAUGAAAAGCACUUUGAAAAGAGGGUUAAAUAGCACGUGAAAUUGCUGAAAGGGAAGCGCCUAUGACCAGACGCGCGCCGGGCGGAUCAUCCAGCGUUCUCGCUGGUGCACUCCGCUCGGCGCGGGCCAGCAUCGGUUUCCACGGUGGCUGAAGCGCCGGAAAGUAGCUCCCUUCGGGGAGUGUUAUAGCCGGCGUGGCGGCACCCGCGGG